GGAGCAGGCUUCCAGGAAAAGCUUCUAGCACAACACGCAUCGGCCCGUACCGAAAAUGGACACACAUGGGCAAGGAGAGAAUCCUGAGGUGAGCGAGAGAAUUAUAGCUAAGGAACUCUGCAAAAUGACCCCGUAACUUAGGGAGAAGGGGUGCUCCAGAAAUGGAGCCGCAGUAAAACGGCCCAAGCGACUGUUUACCAAAAACACAGCUCUCUGCGAAGGCGCAAGCCGAAGUAUAGGGGGUGACGCCUGCCCGGUGCUGGAAGGUCAAGGGGAGCUGUCAGCGCAAGCGAAGCAGCGAGCCGAAGCCCCAGUAAACGGCGGCCGUAACGAUAACGGUCCUAAGGUAGCGAAAUUCCUUGUCGGGCAAGUUCCGACCCGCACGAAAGGCGUAACGAUUUGGGCGCUGUCUCAGCUGUAGACUCGGUGAAGUCUUAGUACCUGUGAAGAUGCAGGUUGCCCGCGACUAGACGGAAAGACCCCAUGGAGCUUCACUGCAGGUUGACAUUGGGCUUGGAUGCAUGAUGUACAGGAUAGGUGGGAGGCUGUGAGCCGUGCGCGCCAGCGUACGGGGAGCCGCUGUUGGGAUACCACCCUUCAUGCAUCUAGGUCCUAACCGGAGGCAACGGGCCACGGGACAGUGUCAGUCGGGCAGUUUGACUGGGGCGGUCGCCUCCCAAAGAGUAACGGAGGCGCCCAAAGAUACCCUCAGCAUGGAUGGAAACCAUGCAUAGAGUGCAAAGGCAUAAGGGUGUCUGACUGCGAGACAUACAGGUCGAGCAGGGACGAAAGUCGGGCUUAGUGAUCCGGCGGAUCCGAAUGGAAGGGCCGUCGCUCAACGGAUAAAAGCUACCCUGGGGAUAACAGGCUGAUCUCCCCCAAGAGUUCACAUCGACGGGGAGGUUUGGCACCUCGAUGUCGGCUCAUCGCAUCCUGGAGCUGAAGUCGGUUCCAAGGGUUGGGCUGUUCGCCCAUUAAAGCGGUACGCGAGCUGGGUUCAGAACGUCGUGAGACAGUUCGGUCCCUAUCUGUCGUGGGCGCAGGAGGUUUGAGGAGAGCUGCCCCUAGUACGAGAGGACCGGGGUGGACGGACCGAUGGUGCACCAGUUGUCACGCCAGUGGCACAGCUGGGCAGCCAAGUCCGGACGGGAUAAGCGCUGAAGGCAUCUAAGCGUGAAGCCCCCUCCAAGAUGAGACCUCCCAUUGGCGACAAGUAAGGCCCCUCGAAGACGACGAGGUUGAUAGGCCGCGAGUGCAAGCGCAGCGAUGUGCUUAGCGGGGCGGUACUAAUAGGCCGAGGACUUGGCCAA
RNAcentral lists this ribosomal RNA (1310 nucleotides) under metagenome. Its description in RNAcentral is "bacterial LSU rRNA". It matches the Rfam family "Bacterial large subunit ribosomal RNA", at positions 1597 to 2925 of the family's 2925-position model. The record is from RNAcentral.